This 337-nucleotide ribosomal RNA is filed under the name uncultured Parcubacteria group bacterium. RNAcentral describes it as "bacterial SSU rRNA". It matches the Rfam family "Bacterial small subunit ribosomal RNA", at positions 28 to 351 of the family's 1533-position model. The record is from RNAcentral.
GAUGAAUGCUGGCGGCGUGGAUAAGGCAUGCAAGUCGAACGAAGCCUUCUAUUGAGGACAGUGCGAUUACAUCAAGCUGUCCGAGACUGAAAGCUUAGUGGCGAACGAGUUAGUAACAUCUUGGUACGUACUCCGAUGUUAGGCACAACGGGUCGAAAGAUCCGCUAAUUCCUAAUGGUCCCGCAAGGGUAAAGUCGCAAGACGCAUCGGAAGCGGCCUAGAUCCUAUCAGCUUGUUGGCGGGGUAACGGCCCACCAAGGCUAUGACGGGUAGGGGUGUGAGAGCACGACCCUCAACGACGAAACUGAGACACGGUUCGUACACCUACGGGUGGCAG